Molecule: transfer RNA, 75 nt
Filed under: Streptomyces antarcticus
Lineage: Bacteria; Bacillati; Actinomycetota; Actinomycetes; Kitasatosporales; Streptomycetaceae
Description: tRNA-Pro
Rfam family: tRNA
About the family: Transfer RNA (tRNA) molecules are approximately 80 nucleotides in length. Their secondary structure includes four short double-helical elements and three loops (D, anti-codon, and T loops). Further hydrogen bonds mediate the characteristic L-shaped molecular structure. tRNAs have two regions of fundamental functional importance: the anti-codon, which is responsible for specific mRNA codon recognition, and the 3' end, to which the tRNAs corresponding amino acid is attached (by aminoacyl-tRNA synthetases). tRNAs cope with the degeneracy of the genetic code in two manners: having more than one tRNA (with a specific anti-codon) for a particular amino acid; and 'wobble' base-pairing, i.e. permitting non-standard base-pairing at the 3rd anti-codon position.
Source: RNAcentral
CUGGUUGUAGCUCAGAGGUAGAGCAUCCGCUUUGGGAGCGGAGGGCCGCAGGUUCGAUCCCUGCCAACCAGACCA